AGAGUUUGAUCCUGGCUCAGGACGAACGCUGGCGGCGUGCCUAACACAUGCAAGUCGAGCGGAGAUACAUUGAAGAGCAAUCAGAUAUGUAUCUUAGCGGCGGACGGGUGAGUAACGCGUGGGCAACCUGCCUCAUACUGGGGGAUAACAGUGGGAAACUACUGCUAAUACCGCAUGAAAUCAUAGGAGGACAUCCUCUAAUGAUCAGAGGAGCAAUCCGGUGUGAGAUGGGCCCGCGUCCAAUUAGCUAGUUGGUGGGGUAACGGCCCACCAAGGCGACGAUUGGUAGCCGAACUGAGAGGUUGAUCGGCCACAUUGGGACUGAGACACGGCCCAGACUCCUACGGGAGGCGGCAGUGGGGAAUAUUGCGCAAUGGGGGAAACCCUGACGCAGCAACGCCGCGUGAAGGAUGAAGGUUUUCGGAUUGUAAACUUCUUUGAUGAGGGACGAACACAAUGACGGUACCUCAAAAACAAGCCACGGCUAACUACGUGCCAGCAGCCGCGGUAAUACGUAGGUGGCGAGCGUUGUCCGGAAUUACUGGGUGUAAAGGGCGUGUAGGCGGGAAAGCAAGUCAGAUGUGAAAUACCGGGGCUUAACUCCGGGGCUGCAUCUGAAACUGUUUUUCUUGAGUGUCGGAGAGGAAAGCGGAAUUCCUAGUGUAGCGGUGAAAUGCGUAGAUAUUAGGAGGAACACCAGUGGCGAAGGCGGCUUUCUGGACGACAACUGACGCUGAGGCGCGAAAGCGUGGGGAGCAAACAGGAUUAGAUACCCUGGUAGUCCACGCCGUAAACGAUGGAUACUAGGUGUAGGAGGUAUCGACCCCUUCUGUGCCGGAGUUAACACAAUAAGUAUCCCACCUGGGGAGUACGGCCGCAAGGUUGAAACUCAAAUGAAUUGACGG
RNAcentral lists this ribosomal RNA (905 nucleotides) under uncultured bacterium. RNAcentral's name for it is "bacterial SSU rRNA". It matches the Rfam family "Bacterial small subunit ribosomal RNA", at positions 8 to 916 of the family's 1533-position model. The record is from RNAcentral.